GAGGGUAUAGCUCAGUGGUAGAGCGCAUGCUUAGCAUGCAUGAGGUUCUGGGUUCAAGCCACAGUACCCCCA
RNAcentral lists this transfer RNA (72 nucleotides) under Camelus bactrianus (Bactrian camel). It matches the Rfam family "tRNA". From Rfam's summary of the family: Transfer RNA (tRNA) molecules are approximately 80 nucleotides in length. Their secondary structure includes four short double-helical elements and three loops (D, anti-codon, and T loops). The record is from Rfam by way of RNAcentral. RNAcentral also lists the same sequence under 2 other names. Lineage: Eukaryota; Metazoa; Chordata; Mammalia; Artiodactyla; Camelidae.